Molecule: long non-coding RNA, 305 nt
Filed under: Mytilus galloprovincialis (Mediterranean mussel)
Lineage: Eukaryota; Metazoa; Mollusca; Bivalvia; Mytilida; Mytilidae
Source: RNAcentral
CGAGAUCGUAAGCCUGUAGUUUAAUUGAUUGAUUGAUUGGUUGAUCGAUUGAAAUUUUGAUUUUUGUCCUAGAUGCAUGUUCGCGUUCGUUAAUUAAUUGAUUAACUUGGUACGUUUGCUGAUUGCAUGAAUGAUAUAUUGCUUGCUAGAUUGACAGUUCCAUAGCAUAUUUCAUAUUGAUUAAUGGAUUUCUUGAUUGUGACUGUGAUGUCCAGUGACAAAUAUUAAACGCACAUUCUUUUCAACAGAAGAAUACAUAUUCCCUACUCCAAAUAAAGGGGCAUUCUGGGAACUUCUCAUUUUCC